Molecule: long non-coding RNA, 604 nt
Filed under: Salmo salar (Atlantic salmon)
Lineage: Eukaryota; Metazoa; Chordata; Actinopteri; Salmoniformes; Salmonidae
Description: lncRNA (ENSSSAG00000087140.1, ENSSSAG00000093565.1)
Source: RNAcentral
GUUUUAAUGGGUGUAGGGUUAGUUGAUAUAGUGGUGAUGUUUUAAUGGGUGUAGGGUUAGUUAGUUGGUAUAGUGGUGAGGUUUUAAUGGGUGUAGGGUUAGUUGGUAUAGUGCUGAGGUUUUAAUGGGUGUAGGGUUAGUUGGUAUAGUGCUGAGGUUUUAAUGGGUGUAGGGUUAGUUGGUAUAGUGCUGAGGUUUUAAUGGGUGUAGGGUUAGUUGGUAUAGUGGUGGGGUUUUAAUGGGUGUAGGGUUAGUUGGUAUAGUGCUGAGGUUUUAAUGGGUGUAGGAUUAGUUGGUAUAGUGCUGAGGUUUUAAUGGGUGUAGGGUUAGUAUCUAUAGUGGUGAGUUUUAAUGGGUGUAGAGUUAGUAUCUAUAGUGGUGAGUUUUAAUGGGUGUAGGGUUAGUAUCUAUAGUGGUGAGUUUUAAUGGGUGUAGGGUUAGUAUCUAUAGUGGUGAGUUUUAAUGGGUGUAGAGUUAGUAUCUAUAGUGGUGAGUUUUAAUGGGUGUAGGGUUAGUUGGUAUAGUGCUGAGGUUUUAAUGGGUGUAGAGUUAGUAUCUAUAGUGGUGAGUUUUAAUGGGUGUAGGGUUAGUAUCUAUAGUGGUG